AUUGAACGCUGGCGGCAUGCCUUACACAUGCAAGUCGAACGGCAGCACGGGAGCAAUCCUGGUGGCGAGUGGCGAACGGGUGAGUAAUAUAUCGGAACGUGCCCAGUCGUGGGGAUAACGUAGCGAAAGCUACGCUAAUACCGCAUACGAUCUAUGGAUGAAAGCGGGGGAUCGCAAGACCUCGCGCGAUUGGAGCGGCCGAUAUCAGAUUAGGUAGUUGGUGAGGUAAAGGCUCACCAAGCCGACGAUCUGUAGCUGGUCUGAGAGGACGACCAGCCACACUGGGACUGAGACACGGCCCAGACUCCUACGGGAGGCAGCAGUGGGGGAAUUUUUGGGACAAUGGGCGCAAGCCUGAUCCAGCAAUGCCGCGUGCAGGAUGAAGG
This 386-nucleotide ribosomal RNA is filed under the name uncultured bacterium. Its description in RNAcentral is "bacterial SSU rRNA". It matches the Rfam family "Bacterial small subunit ribosomal RNA", at positions 30 to 414 of the family's 1533-position model. The record is from RNAcentral.